This 253-nucleotide ribosomal RNA is filed under the name uncultured bacterium. Its description in RNAcentral is "partial 16S ribosomal RNA". It matches the Rfam family "Bacterial small subunit ribosomal RNA", at positions 524 to 776 of the family's 1533-position model. The record is from RNAcentral.
UACGUAUGGUGCAAGCGUUAUCCGGAUUUACUGGGCGUAAAGGGAGCGCAGGCGGUGCGCCAAGUCUGAUGUGAAACCCCGGGGCUCAACCCCGGGCAUGCAUUGGAAAAUGGCGGGCUGGAGUGCCGGAGAGGUAAGCGGAAUUCCUAGUGUAGCGGUGAAAUGCGUAGAUAUUAGGAGGAACACCAGUGGCGAAGGCGGCUUACUGGACGGCAACUGACGCUGAGGCUCGAAAGCGUGGGGAGCAAACAGG